This 434-nucleotide ribosomal RNA is filed under the name uncultured bacterium. Its description in RNAcentral is "partial 16S ribosomal RNA". It matches the Rfam family "Bacterial small subunit ribosomal RNA", at positions 29 to 507 of the family's 1533-position model. The record is from RNAcentral.
AGCGAACGCUGGCGGCAGGCCUAACACAUGCAAGUCGAACGAACCUUUCGGGGUUAGUGGCGGACGGGUGAGUAACACGUGGGAACGUGCCUUUAGGUUCGGAAUAACUCAGGGAAACUUGUGCUAAUACCGAAUGUGCCCUUCGGGGGAAAGAUUUAUCGCCUUUAGAGCGGCCCGCGUCUGAUUAGCUAGUUGGUGGAGGUAAUGGCUCACCAAGGCGACGAUCAGUAGCUGGUCUGAGAGGAUGAUCAGCCACAUUGGGACUGAGACACGGCCCAAACUCCUACGGGAGGCAGCAGUGGGGAAUCUUGCGCAAUGGGCGAAAGCCUGACGCAGCCAUGCCGCGUGAAUGAUGAAGGUCUUAGGAUUGUAAAAUUCUUUCACCGGGGACGAUAAUGACGGUACCCGGAGAAGAAGCCCCGGCUAACUUCGUG